This 253-nucleotide ribosomal RNA is filed under the name uncultured bacterium. RNAcentral's name for it is "partial 16S ribosomal RNA". It matches the Rfam family "Bacterial small subunit ribosomal RNA", at positions 524 to 776 of the family's 1533-position model. The record is from RNAcentral.
UACGGGGGGGGCAAGCGUUGUUCGGAAUUACUGGGCGUAAAGGGCUCGUAGGUGGCCAACUAAGUCAUACGUGAAAUCCCUCGGCUUAACCGGGGAACUGCGUCUGAUACUGGAUGGCUUGAGGUUGGGAGAGGGAUGCGGAAUUCCAGGUGUAGCGGUGAAAUGCGUAGAUAUCUGGAGGAACACCGGUGGCGAAGGCGGGUCUCUGGACAGUUCCUGACGCUGAGGCACGAAGGCCAGGGGAGCAAACGGG